Molecule: non-coding RNA, 1950 nt
Organism: Sus scrofa (pig)
Lineage: Eukaryota; Metazoa; Chordata; Mammalia; Artiodactyla; Suidae
Source: RefSeq, a predicted model, not a curated record
CUGAGCAAAAAGUUUGGAGGAGACCAGAACCAAGGAGCAGAGGGUCCUCAUGGUGGGUCCUGGGUGGUAGAGAAGAAAGAGGAGGGAGCUGGUGGCCGAGGCCUAAGGAGCUGCUGAGGAGCCUCUGUUUCUAUGGCUCCCAGGUGCUCACACAAGAGGCAAGUGGCUCAGAAAUAUUUCUGGGCUGAUCCUAAGUAUAGAAAGACAUGGCUAUCUGUCCACGGGCCCUGACCAAGGGAGCCGCCCACCCCUGCCCCGCCAGCAACACUGCACAGGUGAGCACAGGCUCACUCCCUGCUCCAGGGCCAGGCUCCUCACCUGCACACCUGACUCAGAGAUUGUUCCAGAAUGGACCCCUCACCUAGGCCUUGGCAACUGGACAGGAUGUUCCCUGGGUAAGGAUGAUCCCUGGGGACGGGCUGUGGUGGAGACGUCAUUAUGGCAAAGCCCAUUGGGUUUGUUCAGUCACUGAGAAAAGAAAAGCUCUUUUUCUCCACAAGGGGACUAAAAACUCAGCAUUGCCCAAGGUUUCAGCAGCCAACUUGCUACUGUGAAAAAGUGGGCCUGAGAAUAAAUCAGAUCCUGGUGAAAAUACACUAGGUUCUUGAUGACUCUGGGUCCCCACUGGAUCCUGAGACCCUGAUGGUUCUAACAGCAGCCCUUGUUUUCUCUUUUUGUUUUUGUUUUCAAUUCUGGUUUGGUCUGAGUUUCUGGUUUGUGAGCUGGCAGUCGGCUUUACCACAGUCAAAUCGCCAGCAGACUUCCAAAUUCCUCUCUGACCUAGUACUUCCAGCUGGAGAAACAUGAGCUUUCUGCUACUUUUCUCAUUAAAAAUCCCCAAGAAUACCAGGAGUUCUGUUUUUUCCUUUUACUAUGUAUGAGUAAAAGGUCUGUUUCUUGGGUAACUGAUUAUGGUAGCAUGAGUUUUAAAGCGAAAUGAGAAGUCUUCUUAGUAUUGUCAAGGACAGAGCAAGGUCACUGAAGCCCAGGGCUAAGCUUUACAUUCUUCACAGUCUCCUGUUUCUUGUCACAAGGCCCUGCCACAGGUGUGCUGAGUGAACCACAGCCAACCCCACACCUGGGGUUUCUGCCUCAAAGUUCCACCACAGGGAGAUGGGGCCACUUUGCCCCACAAAGGGAGCAGCUCAAAAUUGCUGCUUCAGGUGGGGGUGGCAGAGACACUUCCAUGGGGCACGUUCCUGAGUCCUCACCUGGCUCAGAUGUGCUUUUCCCUUGGGGAAGCGGUGCUCCUGAAUCCAGAGAGCUGAUGCUUGCUGGGCCAAGCAUCAGCACAGCAGGGGGAAGUCCAGGCAGGUCAGGCCUCCAGCUCCUUCAGAAUCUGCACGUCCUGCCAAAGCAGCUGUGCCUGCGGCUUAGUUCACAGCGUGGCUUGCAGAUUACGCCAGAGAAGUGAGUGGUAAGGAUCCUUCGUGAAGUGCUUCCACAUGAGAAAAAGACUCAAGGAAGUGGAAUUUUGCUGUUGGAGACCCAGCUUAACAGGCUUUUCACCUUGAGACCUCAGAUGGCAGGGCCCAGAAAUGGACGGAAAAGUCUGUCAACCUCUCAUUUUAAGAGUCUGCAGGAGGAUCAAGACCCUACACAGAACCAGCCUGCAGGCUCCUUGCAAAGCUUCCUCAAGAAAGUCCUCCUGGCUCCUUAAGACCAGGUCAGCUCCUACUGUCACAUGUUCUCUGAGCAUGAGCAUCCAGCACUUAAGAGCAUUUCACAACACAUGUAAUUAGGUAUGUCAAUAUGUCAUCGAUUUUCUUGUCCUGCUCUGCUUUUCAAAUGUGUGGCCCGUGCAUCCUUGCAUUUCCCCUGUUCCCGGGGCAAUGCCUGUGCACAGCAGCCCUUAACUAAAUAUUCCUCCUUGAAUCAGUGAGUGACUAGCCUCAAACUAUCUUGCAUUCUUUUUUUUUUUUUUUUCUUUUUUAGGGCCGCACCCACGGC